AGACCCCUCCCACGUGAGAUGGGGUCAAUGCUGCAUGGAGGGCUUUCAAGGUGGAACUGACAACUUGAAAGCAGGAGCGCCAAACUCCUGUCUGGUGGGACCCUUUAAAACCCGUGAUUUUAUAAAGAAAGAAAGCAGGUGAGAGUGUUGCAGUCAAGCUCCGGAGAAGCAGAACCUGAAACAGGGAUCCUCGGGCGAGGCGGGUGUUGAGGGAGGGCUCUCAGGAGAAACCUGGAAGAAGAUGCUAGGGAAAAAUGUGGUUCAAGCGAAGUCUAGCCUCAGCCUGACCCCAUGGGUAGCUCUGGAGCGUGACUUGCCCUACAGAGGUGGUUCCUCCUACAAGAGGAAGAAACUGAGGCUCAGAGAGCUUAAGUAAUUUGCCCAACGUCGCCUAGCAGCACAAAAGCAAAUCAUGCUUCUAAAAAAAAAGAAAUUGGAACCUUACAGCAACUUGGAAAAUGGGCGUCCUCCGUAACCUGCUAUUCCAAGUGGGGUCCUGGCUUGGCGUCACCUGGGAACGUGUCAGAAAUGCAGAGUCUCAGGCCUUCCCGCCCUGCCCGGCUGAAUUGGAAUCUGCGUUUCACAGGAUCCCACUGACUCACAGGCACUGUAAGUGUGAAGAGCUAGUGCAACCCUCCUCCUCUCCCACCCCCGUGAAGACCACAAGUGUCCCCAGUUUGUGUGCAUUUGAGAGCCUUUUAAAAAGCACACUCUUCUAACCUCUCAGUAAUUACCUGCAAUUUUGUAGCCGCAUCUGAAACCAAAAUCCUCUUCAAAGCCAUUCAGCAGGGAGCUAACAAAACAUCAUCAUCUUGUCUGUCUGCUCCCACUCUGCCCCCCUCCAACCUGUCACCCCCCCAGUUGCCACAGAGAUCUUUUAAAAAAAAAAAAAAGAUAAAUAAAUCAGCUCAUGUCGCUCUCCUGCUUAGAAUCCUGCGGUGGCUUUCCAUUGCUCUGGGAACAGCCCGGCAUCCUCGCCACCGCCUGUCUCCAGCGCCCUUCCUCCUGCUCCUCACUCCUGACACACUGAUCUUCUCUCUGGGUCUUUGCCAUCUCUGCUCCUGUGCCCGAUGCCCUUUCUUCCUCUUUCCCUGGAUGGUUCCUUUUCAUCCUUCAUGUCUCAACUUAAAUGUCACCUCCUCAGAGGUGCGAGAGGAAAUGCCCACCUUGGGACUAGCACACCCUUGCCUGCCAGUGCUCUCUGCCACAGCGGCUAUGGUCAGGACUGUCUCCCCAUAGAUGUGUGAGUCCCAUGGGAGCGGGGACCUCCUGCCUCACUCAGUCACUCUCCUUUGUAUGCAGUACUUGGCAAAUGGCCUGCACACGGUAGGUUAAUACUCAAUA
RNAcentral lists this long non-coding RNA (1344 nucleotides) under Equus asinus (donkey). RNAcentral describes it as "lncRNA (ENSEASG00005028789.1)". Lineage: Eukaryota; Metazoa; Chordata; Mammalia; Perissodactyla; Equidae. The record is from RNAcentral.